GGGAUUAGCUAGUAGGUGAGGUAAUGGCUCACCUAGGCGACGAUCCCUAGCUGGUCUGAGAGGAUGACCAGCCACACUGGAACUGAGACACGGUCCAGACUCCUACGGGAGGCAGCAGUGGGGAAUAUUGCACAAUGGGCGCAAGCCUGAUGCAGCCAUGCCGCGUGUGUGAAGAAGGCCUUAGGGUUGUAAAGCACUUUCAGCGAGGAGGAAGGGUUCAGUGUUAAUAGCACUGUGCAUUGACGUUACUCGCAGAAGAAGCACCGGCUAACUCCGUGCCAGCAGCCGCGGUAAUACGGAGGGUGCAAGCGUUAAUCGGAAUUACUGGGCGUAAAGCGCACGCAGGCGGUUUGUUAAGUCAGAUGUGAAAUCCCCGAGCUUAACUUGGGAACUGCAUUUGAAACUGGCAAGCUA
This 414-nucleotide ribosomal RNA is filed under the name Rahnella sp. SR1-13-f. RNAcentral's name for it is "bacterial SSU rRNA". It matches the Rfam family "Bacterial small subunit ribosomal RNA", at positions 237 to 643 of the family's 1533-position model. The record is from RNAcentral. RNAcentral also lists the same sequence under 3 other names. Lineage: Bacteria; Pseudomonadati; Pseudomonadota; Gammaproteobacteria; Enterobacterales; Yersiniaceae.